GCCUAAAAUCUAGCCCACACAAAUCUUAUGUAAUCCUCAACCUAUUGUUCUACAACAAAACAUUUUUAUAUUCUAGUACAGGAGAUCGAAAAAUUCCUAAGAGCUUCAGAUAAAGUACCGCAAGGGAACGAUGAAAUAAAAAUGAAAUAAUUCUAAAGCCCUAAAUAGCAAAGAUAAGCCCUUGUACCUUUUGCAUCAUGGUCUAGCCAGUCUUACCAAGCAAAAAGAAAUUUAAGUUUGCCACCCCGAAACUAAACGAGCUACUUUAAAACAGCCCCAAAGGGCCAACCCGUCUCUGUUGCAAAAGAGUGGGAAGAUUUUUAAGUAGAGGCGAUAAACCUACCGAGCUUAGAGAUAGCUGGUUGUUCAGGAAAAGAGUUUUAGCUCUACCUUAAGUUUUUUUGUUAUACCCAUAACUCCCCCAAACUUAAGAGCUAUUCAAAUAAGGCACAGCUUAUUUGAAACAGAAUACAACCUCCAACACUGGGUAAAUCAAAGUGAUCCAAAUAAAGUGGGCCUAAAAGCAGCCAUCUUUUAAAAAGCGUCAUAGCUUAACUUCCAUCACAUCCUAAUUUAUUAAACCCCUUUCAACCCUUCACCAAUACUGAACUAUUUUAUAUUUUUAUAAAAAUAAUUAUGCUAGAACUAGUAACAAGAAAUUUGUCCUUCUCCAAAUUGCAAGUAUAAAUCAAAACGACACCCCAAUGAUAAUUAACGUAAAUACAUAAAAUAUAGUAACAAAUAUCUAGAAAAUUCUAUAACCCCAGACGUUAACCUUACACCAGAGCACUACAGGAAAGAUUAAAAGAGAAAGAAGGAACUCGGCAAAAUUCAGCCCCGCCUGUUUACCAAAAACAUAGCCUCUUG
This 867-nucleotide ribosomal RNA is filed under the name Hylarana nigrovittata (black-striped frog). RNAcentral describes it as "Sylvirana nigrovittata (black-striped frog) partial 16S ribosomal RNA". The stretch from base 171 to 644 matches the Rfam family "Bacterial large subunit ribosomal RNA", at positions 573 to 1301 of the family's 2925-position model. The record is from RNAcentral. Lineage: Eukaryota; Metazoa; Chordata; Amphibia; Anura; Ranidae.